RNAcentral lists this ribosomal RNA (248 nucleotides) under uncultured Actinomycetales bacterium. RNAcentral describes it as "partial 16S ribosomal RNA". It matches the Rfam family "Bacterial small subunit ribosomal RNA", at positions 85 to 334 of the family's 1533-position model. The record is from RNAcentral. Lineage: Bacteria; Bacillati; Actinomycetota; Actinomycetes; Actinomycetales.
GGGUGCUCGAGUGGCGAACGGGUGAGUAACACGUGAGUAACCUGCCCUUGACUUUGGGAUAACUUCAGGAAACUGGGGCUAAUACCGGAUAGGAGCUCCUGCUGCAUGGUGGGGGUUGGAAAGUUUCGGCGGUUGGGGAUGGACUCGCGGCUUAUCAGCUUGUUGGUGGGGUAGUGGCUUACCAAGGCUUUGACGGGUAGCCGGCCUGAGAGGGUGACCGGCCACAUUGGGACUGAGAUACGGCCCAG